RNAcentral lists this ribosomal RNA (407 nucleotides) under uncultured bacterium. RNAcentral describes it as "partial 16S ribosomal RNA". It matches the Rfam family "Bacterial small subunit ribosomal RNA", at positions 30 to 526 of the family's 1533-position model. The record is from RNAcentral.
AUUGAACGCUGGCGGCAGGCCUAACACAUGCAAGUCGAGCGGAGCGGCGGACGGGUGAGUAAUGCCUGGGAAUCUGCCUGGUAGUGGGGGAUAACUUCGGGAAACGGGCGCUAAUACCGCAUACUAUCAGAUCAGCCUAGGUCGGAUUAGCUAGUUGGUGGGGUAACGGCUUACCAAGGCGACGAUCCGUAGCUGGUCUGAGAGGAUGAUCAGUCACACUGGAACUGAGACACGGUCCAGACUCCUACGGGAGGCAGCAGUGGGGAAUAUUGGGCAAUGGGCGAAAGCCUGAUCCAGCCAUGCCGCGUGUGUGAAGAAGGUCUUCGGAUUGUAAAGCACUUUUGGUAGGGAAGCGUUACCUACAGAAUAAGCACCGGCUAACUUCGUGCCAGCAGCCGCGGUAAUAC